This 39-nucleotide transfer RNA is filed under the name Artocarpus nitidus subsp. borneensis. RNAcentral describes it as "partial tRNA-His". Lineage: Eukaryota; Viridiplantae; Streptophyta; Magnoliopsida; Rosales; Moraceae. The record is from RNAcentral.
GCGGAUGUAGCCAAGUGGAUCAAGGCAGUGGAUUGGGAA